UACGUAGGGGGCAAGCGUUGUCCGGAGUUACUGGGCGUAAAGCGCACGCAGGCGGUCGAUUAAGUUUGGAGUGACAGUUGGUGGCUUAACUGCCAAAGUGCUUCGAAAACUGAUCGACUUGAGGGCUUCAGAGGGACACGGAAUUCCGGGUGGAGUGGUGAAAUGCGUAGAGAUCCGGAGGAACACCGAAGGCGAAGGCAGUGUCCUGGGGAGUACCUGACGCUCAGGUGCGAAAGCCAGGGGAGCGAACGGG
RNAcentral lists this ribosomal RNA (253 nucleotides) under uncultured bacterium. RNAcentral describes it as "partial 16S ribosomal RNA". It matches the Rfam family "Bacterial small subunit ribosomal RNA", at positions 524 to 776 of the family's 1533-position model. The record is from RNAcentral.